This 21770-nucleotide long non-coding RNA is filed under the name Malus domestica (apple). RNAcentral's name for it is "long non-coding RNA (MDOM_LNC014908)". Lineage: Eukaryota; Viridiplantae; Streptophyta; Magnoliopsida; Rosales; Rosaceae. The record is from RNAcentral.
AAACAAGCAGGAAUUGGAUUACCACCUAUAUCUAGGGAAUCCAAUUCCACCAAUACAAGGAAUUGAAUUCCAAAAUUUGUCCCACUACUUUUUUGAUUCCUUUAUAUUUAGUAAACACCGGAGUACUCCGUAAUCGGAAUUCAAUUCCACAUUCUCAUUCCGAUUACGGAUACGUAAACACGCCCUUAAUUCCUAGCUAGGGUUUCUCCACAACCGCGUUACUCUCUAAAAGCCUCUCAUGCCUCCGUGUAGAUGUUAUCAAUUGAUUGUCAUAGCGAAUAAUCAAAGAUAUGACAUUAGUAUGGACAUAACCUAGAACCUCAGUACUCUUAUAAAAUAAUAACUUCCUCGUACUCAUUAAAAAAAAUUAAUUCUAAAUUGGGCCAGUUAUAUAUAAGAGUACAACUCAAGUGGGUUGCAAGGUCAACCCAACUCUAACCCAACCCUCACAAAAGUGGUUAAAUUUUAGAUUGGAUUUCAUUCGGGUUUAUUUGAGGUCAGACCUAUUAAAUAGUAAAUAAGAAAAAAUAGUUAGUCGUAUAUAUUUUAUAUGUGAAACAAUUAUUAUUAAAGCAAAAUACAUAAAGGACAUAAUAAUUACCAAAUGGAAUCAAGUAUCUUUAGUGCUACAUGAAACCCGAUGCCAAAAACUUAAACAAUAUCAACUACACCUAUAAAUGGAAUUUAAAAUAGACACCUGCUUUAAAAAUCAUAUAUAUUAACACUAAGCUCAAUAUCUUAGAAGGAAGAAGAAAGCAAUGAAAACCUUCAUAGAAAAAUGUAGAGAGAUAGAAGAGAGAAAAGAAUGAACUGCUAUGAAUGUAUCGAUUGAUUGAGAAUUACAGAGAAUUGCUAUAUAUACUACAACCUUCGAUUCAUAGCUAAGUAAUCGAAAACUAAUUAACUUCUCUUAUCCUUUUAGUUGUCUAACCACAAUCCUAACUUGCCGAUGUACAUAUAUCUAUCAACAUCGCCCCUCAAUCUCAGCUGGGUUUCCAAGCUUGAGAUUGAAUGAAUGCUUGAGGAAUGAAGGACUCUGUAGAUCCUUAGUUAGUAUGUCUGCAGUUUGACCUUCAGUAGGUAGAUAUUGAACUUGCAAAUCCCCCUUUUGAACUCUCUCCAGUACGAAAUGAUAGUUGUGUCUAAAUGUUUGAUCCUCAAGUGAAAAACUGGUUUGGCACUUCAUGCAAUUGCAUAUUUGUUAUCACAGUAUAUCACUGGAGGAAAAGGUAAGACAACAGCCAUAUCUCGAAGAACAUUUAUAAUCCAAGCAACAUCAGCUGCAGUAUGUGCCAAUGCGUUAUACUCAGCUUCUGUAGAACUCCUUGAUACAAAAUCUUGCUUCUUUGACUGCCAUGAAACUGGAUUAUUACCAAUGUAUACAACAUAGCCUGUCACAGAUUGCCUUGUGUUCAAAUAUGUAGCCCAAACAGAAUCACUAAAGGUUGUGAUCCUUACUGCAGUGUCAACUAAAAAUGUGAUACCAGUUUGUAUAGUUCCUUUUAAGAAUCACAUGACCUUUGUUACUGCCCCAAAAUGUAUCUCUGUGGGAGAAGUCAUGAAUUUACACACAUAAUUCACAACAUAUGCAAUAUCUGGCCUUGUAAAGGUCAAAUACUGCAAUGAGCCAACAAUACUACAAUACAAACUUGGAUCAGGCAAUAUGGUACCUUCAGUGACUAGCAAUGGAUCAUGAGGCUUGCAUGGUGUAGAUGCUGGUUUGCAGGACUCCAUACCAGUUUUAUGCAAUAAGUCUUUUAUAUACUUAGAUUGGUUGACACAUAUAUCACCAUUCUUCUUGUAGUUAACUUGCAAACCAAGAAAAUAAGUCAACUUUUCCAUAUCUUUAAGCUCAAACACCUCAUAUAACUCUGUGAUUACACUUUGUACCUUGCACGAGUUUGAUCCAGUUAAGAUAAUGUCAUUUACAUACAACAGUAGAAUGACUACAUCACCAUUAUCUUGCUUAACCAAUAAACUGGAAUCUGAAGUAGAAGAUUUGAACCCCAUUGCAGGUAAGUAACUUGUGAACUUGGAGUUCCAGGCCCUCGGAGCUUGCUUAAGACCAUAUAACAACUUGAUUAACUUGAAAACAUACGAAGGAUUGGCCAUAUCCACAAAUCCCUGAGGCUAUUUCAUGUAAAUUUCCUCUUGAAGGUCACCAUGCAAAAAUGCAUUCUUAAUAUCUAACUGCCUUAACUCCUAUUAAUUAAUUAUGGCCAAUGUUAAUAAUACUCUCACUAUGGUAUGUUGAACCACAUGACUAAAUGUUUCUGAGUAAUCAACUCCUUGUUCUUGUGAAAAAUCUUGUGCGACCAACCGAGCUUUAUACCUGGAGAUUGAGCCAUCAUGAUUCCUUUUGAGUUUAUAAACUCAUUUGCUGCCAACAAUUGACCUAUCAUCAGGUAGUGGAACAAUUUCCCAAGUUCCUUGAGCUAUAAGGGAAUUAUAUUCUUCUUGCAUUAUAUUCUGCAUUGUGGCAUAAAUGCAGCUUUUCGAAACGUUGUUGGUUCUGCAGCAUCAACAAAACUGGCUACAAAUGAAAAACCUCCACCAAAAAGCUUAUCUUGAGUUAAUUGCAAAGAUUGCAGCUCAGGUAAGGCAACAAGAUAUCCCUUAUAACUCAUUUGUGGUAACACACCACUUUUCGAUCGAGUAAUCAUUGGAUGCAUUGAAUCAGCUUUGGAGUUACCAACAUCAGAUAAAAUGGGAGUUGAAAUAUGAAGUAUUACCUCAAGUUGUGUGUCAUGAUGGACAUGCAACAUUUGUGACACACUAGAAGGAGUGGAAGUGAGGGGAGAAAACUCCAGUUGUGAAGAAGUACCAUGUGACAGUGAACUAGAACUAAAGCUUGUAUCUAGAGAAAAAUCUGAUGUCUAUGAGUAUAAGCCAUGUGAAAUUGGUACUUGUUGUAAUGAAGUAUCAUGUGUAGAAGAACUAGUAGUAGCACUACUUUUAGAUAUUGAAACAUACAUAUUAUCUUGAUAUUCACUAUUAUCUUUCGUUUGAUUUCUGUGAAACAUACAUUUUGUUGUAGCUGGAAAUGAGCUGUUGCUGGUAGGCUGUGAUGUAGGUGAUGGUCUGUUCGCUAUUCUCCUCUGUCAGAUCUAAGCUUGUGGCCAUCUCUUUACUGAUCUGCUUAAUGCUUAGUAGUAGAGCAGGGAUACUUAGCUUGAUGACAUUGGGAUAAAUGAUUGCUUUUGAGCCAAAUGCUAAAGAGAAAUGAGUCUCAUCAAUUGCUUUUCUUUUGGUGGUGCGAUAUGCUCAUAGACAUCCAGGGAGUUCGUUUGGCCAUUUUCCCUUCUUGUUGGUGAGGGAUUUUUGAGGCAGUCGAGGAUCAUCUUGUUGAAUGUUUCGGCCUGCCUACUACCUUGAGGAUAUCUUGGCAUGAACAUGUGUUGCUUGAUGCCAUACUUUUGGAAGAACUUCGCCAUAUUUUAGCCCACGAAUUACGGGUCGUUAUCGAUGACGAUGGAUUGAGGGAUGCCAAAUCGGCAAAUGAUGUUCCUCCAUAUGAAAUGCUCUAUAUCUACAUGAGUUGUGGUCGUCUUGGGCUUUGCUUCUACCCAUUUGGUUAAGUAAUCGGUUGCCACGAUCAUCAUGCAUCUACCUUUAGUAGCAGGUGGCAUAGGUCUUAUCAAGUCGAUUGCCCACUGCAUGAACGACCAAGGAUUCAUUUGCAGGUGUAGCUCGCUAGCAAACAGUGAUGGUAUCGGCUUGUAACGUUGGCAGUGGUCGCACUUUUGUAUUAACUUCUUAGCAUUUCGGUGCAUGGUAGGUCAUCAGUAGCCUGUGUUAAGAGCCUUAUGUGACACCUCGGCUGUUAGCUUCGCCUCUAUGCUUGGCUCGUCUAGAUACUCCAUCGGAAUAAAGUGUUUAAAUUAGUGGUCGAGGGCGGAGCCUAGGCUGGCUAAUGUGUCCACGUGAACGUUGUCUGCCUGUGGAACUUGAGUGAGGGUGUAAGUAUGAAACGCCUUAAGUAGUCAGGCUACUGAUUAGCAGGGAAUCAUAAUGAAUUGCCAGCUUUUUCACUGCCAAGCUUUUGCUAUUCGGAGGCCUGUUAGUAGGGUUUCGUAUUCUGCUUCGUUGUUGGAUGCUUUGAAGCCUAGAGUGAUCGCCUGCUCAGACAUCGAACAGUUUAAGGACUAUGCCUGCUCUCGAACCUUUGUAGUUGGAUGUGCCGUGGACAUGCAAAUGCCAUAAGUCUCCAUCGGGUGAAGCAAGCGCGGCUAGGGCGUGCUUGGCUACAUUUGGGGUGUCGUUGGGCCGCCCUGUUACGUCGUUAAUGCGUGGUAAGGAGUUGUGGAGUUGGGGCCAUGUUACACACAACAGGAGAUGCUCAACCGCCAGUAUUGGGCCACUGUAGAAUUGAAUUAUAGAGCAAGGGUCGGCUGGGGCUAUGCGACACGUAGCAGGAAAUGGUGCUCAACUGCCGAUACAUGUUGUUUCUAUGUAGAAUCUUUUGGGGUGACGAGGACAAAACUUGCUUCCGAGUUUGUCCUUCCAGUGUUCGUCUGCCAUUGGCGUGUCUUUUCGGCUGAGUUGUUGCGUUCGUCAGAAACUUUGCAUCCUCCAAGGUUUAUGCCUUUAUCGUCGCGCAUCUGGAUUGGGCCGAAUAAUGCGUCAUGAGGAUUAUUGCGUGUGUUUGAAGGUAAAAAUUGAGUUUUCGGGUUGCAACAACUAUCGCCAAAGUUAGCUUUUGAAUUUUUGAUAGCAUCAAUGAUAGCUUUUGAACUGUGGAAUACAUGUAGUCGGGCCCCUAGCUCUUCUCGUAUGAUGAUAGAGCUUAUUACUGUUUUAGAUACCAUUAAACAUGUGAAUAAGUCCUCCGCUGAUUCCGUUUGGAUAAUAGGGAGGUGAUGUCGGGUACUUCUUCAAGUUAUUGAAUGUGCAUCGGCGAGCCUCAUCCCAAAGUGCAUGCUUAUCUGCCAGAGUGAAAAAGUCUGCUAGAGUUAAAUCUUCUUUCAUGAUCAAUUUUUUGAAUAGUGGGUGGUCUGCUGGAAGUCAUUUUUUGAAGGCUGUUUAAGCUAUUGAGUCAUUGCAUCCGAUUAUCCUUGCCUUCUUUGCUUUGAACUUCUUCACAUAGUCACGAAGCGACUCUUUUGGGUUUUUCUUGACACGUUGAACAAAUGGUCGGACUUCUUUUUGAUCAAGUGAUAGGAUGAAUAUUCUUUGGUGAAAACCAAAGAAAGUUCGUCGAAACUCCAGAUAAAUUGUGGCGGCAGGAUGUAGAAGCAAUCUUGCGUCUCGCCUUAUAGAAUGGUGGCGAAUAUCUUGCAAAUGAGAUUGUGGUUGUUUUGAUAGAGGAUCAUUGCGCUUCAGUAGUGCUUUAAGUGUCUCUCCGGGUCUUCAUCCCAUUUGAAAGAUGUGAAAUGUGGCAUGCUGAAUUCAAAUGGAGGCUCUAUCUGCUCGAUCUCAUUCGUGAAGGGAUACCUGUUUAUGUUGGUUAUGUUCCGUCGUAGUGCCUCGUCGGUGAUCUCGUUGCGUUGGAUAUUACGCAAUCACUUGGUCAAGGGUCUAUUUACUUCUUCCUGAAUUUGCCUUUGUUGGGGGUAGCAGAGCUUUCGGCUGCCCUCAGCCUCGACUUGCUGGUCUAGGCUGCUCUUCUAUGAGUUUGGCUCGUCUAUGCUGCAGAUGUGAUGCGUGUGGUGAGUUCCUAGCAGGCGAGCAAGUUCUUUGCAGACUGUUGAUUGAACUUGAGCUGGAUUGAGUGAUUGCUUCUCUCUGUCUGUCGUGUUACCUACUCCAAUGUAGGGUGGAUGAUGCUCAUUGCAGGCUUAGCCGUGAAUGAACACUCCGCCUGGAAGGUUGCUCAUGUUGACUAUUGGAGUAUGACCUCAACCAUGAAUGUAUGCUCGUCCGUUGGCCUAGUUGAGAGUGCACGCUCAUUCGCGGGCUAAGACGGGAGUAUACGUUAUCUCAAUGGCUCAAUCGGGAAUGUACACUGCCCGAAUGCUCGGUUCGUGGCUGGUCGAGUGGUUGCUUACCGAGACGCUGUUAGAGAGGUUCAUUGUCUGCCCUUAUCCUACUUCGAGACACCUCGUCUGGGCACGUUGCAUCUCGAUGCGCUGUAAGAGCUGGUUCACCAAGGUCAUCUACUAUGCGAGUGCGCUAGUCAACUUUAUGAUUUGUCGAGACAAGUGUUGUUCUCCAUUUGGGUUGGAAUAACUUGGAAGUAAUGCGUCUCCUUGAGCAAUGGAAAUGUGGUAGACUUCGGGCACUAGAUUUGAGUUGGGAAAUGUCAAAUCCGUAGAAAAAUAUGGUGAAAAUGAUCCCAGUUCGAUCAUUGGUCUGAAAAUUUAGAGCCGGGAUGGUUGAACUAAUCUUGGAUUGAUUUGGGCUGCUUGGAAGGCCACAGGAGCAAGUUGGGCCACAAGAGCAGGUUGGGCCACAUGAGCAUGUUGGCCUAUGAGAAUGGGCUGCUCGCGGGAGCAGGCUGGGCCACGGGAGUAGGCUAGGCCACGAUAGUGUGUUGCUCAGCAGGAAUAGGCUGGGCCAUGAGAGCAGGCUUGGCCACGAGAGUGGGUUGCUUGGCGGGAGUAGGCUGGGUCACAAGAGUGGGCUGCUUGGCGUGAGGAGGCUGGGCCACAAGAAUGGGCUGCUCAGUAUGUGGCACAUGUGGGUGCGAGGUUAAGGCUCGGCUUGGCAACACGAUGGGCUUGGAGUGACAUGGCUUGGGCCAUGGCUUUGGUGCCGUGGGCCUUGGAUGGCACGGCGUGGGCUUGCUUAGAUGGCACAGCUCGAGCAAUGGUGGUGACAGCAUGGACCUCAUUGCGGGUGGCCACCGUGGUGCAAACUCAUGGUGGUAGUGCCGUUCUACUUAUUGUCACAUUUAGCCUCAUGGAUCGCCGUGAUCCUAUCUCUUGAAUAUUGGAAUUUUCACUUGUAGAAUUUUCUAAAUUUCUACCCGCUGUAUUUCUCUUUUACGUUUUAUCAAAGAAUCUUUGCAAAUAAAAAAUCCUAAUAAUAAGAACGUACGAAAAAUCUACAAAUGGACAAGAAAAUAGAAAAACCUUUUGAUACGAGAGUCUUCUAUGAGUGUGUGACUAUUCUCUUAAUGAAAGCACCAAUUUGUGGAUGCAAACUUCUUCCUCCUUGAUCUUGGACAAAAUUGCACCUACAAAACAAUUAACAUCUUUGGUUAAGGCUAAAAGCCUCGCGUGCCCACGAUGAAUAGGGGUGGGGGGAGUUUUGGCCGAAGAACCUCCAAUGCCAAAGUUAGAAUUUAGAGAGAAAAGUGUUUGGAGAGUUUUUGGGAGUUUUGCUAGAGUGUUGAAACUUAGGUUUUUAGAGAAAAUGAGGUUGAAUAUAUAGAGCAUGGUCGGUCCCUUUGGGAGAGAGGGUGGCUGGCCUCUUGUGUAUUUUUUUGGUGCAAUUGGUGAUUUGAUUGGCAAUUAAUUGAUUAAUUAGGUAAUAAAUCCAUUAAUUAGCCAAUUAACAUAAUUUAAAAGGAAUGUUUUGGAGGUUGUGGAAUAAUUAUCUUGUGGAGAAUGUAGGGUGAUGAUGGAUGAAAUAAUUUUGAAUUUGUUACCUAUUUGGGCACCUUUGAUUUGAUUGAGGGAUAAUUGUCCAUUGCUCGCACAUAGGAAUCCUGAUGUGCCUCGAGGGUAAUUUUGUCAUUUUCACCCAAAAAUCCACGUGUUGCCUCUUGAUUAUUUUUUGGCUCCACAUCAACUUUAAUUCUUUAUCAACCUACUGAUGAAACACUUGGAGUGUACGAUUAUAUUUCUAGUACCUCAUGUUGGAGUUUUGAGCCUCCUUUAGUCCGGGGUACUCAAAUUCCCUAGAGGUCUUUAUAUUAGUUUAGUAACCUUUAUUAAUGAAUAGGUAUUGGACCAUUUGGAAUGAGAAUCAAGGUUUAGGCCAUUAAUUGUGUAGAUUAGGCUUGAUGAUUAUAUCAUAAUAUUAAUAUUAAUUUUAAUAUCGAAUUAAGUUUUUAAUUAAAUUAAUUAAAAACCGUUUUGAUUAAUAGACACAGCUGUUUAGAAAGAGUUGUGUGGUUUCAGAUACAUUCAAAAGGUAUUUGAAGAGAUAUGAAAUAGCCUAUAUAACUGAAGACUCAGUUCCAUCGUAAAUCAUCUUUUUCCUUUCUCAUCUCUCCCAUACAAAACCUUAUAGAGAGUAAACACACCAAGCAAUUCGCCAUAAUUUUAUAAUCCGGUGCGGAUUAUAGGAUUAGAUAGUUGUAUCAUGGUUGGGCAGACGUCAUUGAACCAAGAGCACAAGAGUGAGGCAGAAAUACUGUUCGAAUGACAUAACUUUUGUGCUAGCCUCUAUUUGUGAUUUAAUCAAGUUAGUAUCAUUUAAGUCCUGUAAUUAUUUUUGUUAUUUCAUUCUGUAUUGCAAGUAUUUUUCAUUAAUAAAGAAUUAGUAUUUCAAUUUAUGUUAUUUUAUUUAUUUUCUGAAUUGUUCUCCAACAUUGGUUACUUUAUUGGAUGUUUGACACUUCGUCAGAUUAGAAGAUUAGUUGUUAUGGUUAGUAUUGUGUUUAUUGUUGUUAAUUGGUUAGAAACUUAACUUGCACGUGCAAAGCAAGUAAUCAUUGAAAAAUAUAUUGUUGUUGAUUAUUUCAGUCAUAGAAUUAUAACAUAUGCCGCACGGCUUACUUAGAACUACUAUUCCGGGUUUUAGAAUGCCAUCAUUCCAGAAUUUGGUCCAGUAGUUAUGAUUAUGAUGCAAACAUACGUAAUUGAGUUGAAGAUACGUAUCAUCAUCAGCCGGCCACAAAGUGCGGUAGUACAGACCUAUAACAGGAGACUGCAACCAAAAUCUCCGCAACCAAAUAUCAGAGAUUAUUCGUACCAUGACUUGGCAACUAUCUUGCAUUUCAUCAAAUCCAAUUGUGAUAAUUUGCUCAAAAUAUUAAACCUCAAAUCAUCAGACACAUAUAAAUUCCUAAUAGCCGAAUCAUUUAAGUCCACAACAGCAGCCGGAGAGCCAACCAUGUUCAUCUCAUCUAUAGUUAUUCUGGUGAAGUUGAAAGAAACAGUAUCAGAAACCGUAAAAUUCUGAAACUAAAGGCCAGUGUCUGAAACCCGAGAUUUCGGAAACUCAAUCGGGACCUUAAUGUUGGAUAUAAGUUAACAAUCCGUGAUAUAAUUAUCUAUGCUAAUAAAUAAUAAAUGCGAAUAGAAAAAUUAACAGAGUAUGAACAAAACAAAAAUAUAAAACAGACAACUUGAAGAUCGAGACUUGCGUACUGCAAUCAUGGACAGAGCUACAUAAGGCCCAGGGAGGGCAUCCGCCUCCAUUCAGAUUUUUGGGUUAGGAAAGCAAAAAUGUCAUGACAAUUAAAAUAACAAUUAAAAUUUUGAUUUUGGUUCCAAAUAUUCCACGUUUUCUAACCUAAAUCAAACUCAAUUGAACUGGGGGUUUUGAUAAAUACAUUGGAUUCAACUAAUGAAGUAUCAUAAUUUAAUACAAAAAUUUUACUCCAAAGUAUUUUAUAUGAAUUUACUUCAUUCAUUUGUUUGUGGCAUUACAAUUUAGAAUUUAACUUUCUAAUUUAGAGAUUUUUUACUGUAUCUAGUCCUCAAUAACCUAAAACCCAUUAUUUUACUUGGUUGUUUUAACACGCCCCCAAUCAAAAAAAAUUCUAGCUCCGUCCUUGACUGCAAUGUCCUUGAAACAGAAAAUUUGUCCCUACGCAAUGCUUGUAGUUCUACUUUUUCUUUCGGCAAAACCAUUUUGUUGUGGUGUGUAUGGAGCCGUUGUUUGAUGUACAAUUCCAUGUUGUGCACACAAAUCAGAGAAGGCAGUUGUUUUCGGAGCCUUAUUCUUCUUCGGCUUGGCCUUGGAGUUUCCUCCCUCGACAUAAUUUGCAUUGGCUUCAAUGGCAGUAAACCCACCAGAAUGGUCUGCCUUUCCGUGGUCUUCUUCCACUCGUAGCCUUAGAAUCAAAUCCUCCAUAUUCAUUUCACGACACUUGUGCUUGAGAUAAAUUUUGAAGUCAUUCCAAGAAGUUGGCAACUUUUCGAUUAUCGCCCUAACUUGGAAAUGCUCAUUGAUCUCGCAUCCCUCAGAGUGCAAUUCAUAGAUCAAUUUUUGGAUUUCUUCGACCUGAGAUACAACAAAUUUCGAAACCAUCAAAAUAUAUUUGAGAAACUUACCGAUAACAAAUUUAUUUUAACCGGCAUCAUCAAUCUUACACCUUUUCUCCAAGGAUUCCCACAACUCCUUUGUUGUCUUGCACAGAGAAUAAAUGUCGUAGAGAUUGCCAUCCAAACUAUUCAGAAUAUAAUUUCUGCUACAAAACUCGGAAUGAUUCCAAGCUUCAAUUGCCAUGACAAUCUCUUUCGUCAUUGGAUUCUCAUUAGAUUCGGAGCUUCUUCCUUGACAACAUGAGCGAGAUUCAUUGUUGUCAGGAAAAACAACAUCUUCUGUUGCCAUCUGUUGAAGUCCAGCCCUUUGAACUUCUCAGGCUUUUCAGAGUAUUUUGGCAUAGCGCCAUUCACAUUCACAGAUUGUUGAUCCAUAAUUUUCUGUUUCAAGAUUGUUGGAUAUAAGUCAACAAUCCGUGAUAUAAUUAUAUAUGCUAAUAAAUAAUAAAUGUGAAUAGAAAAAUUAACAGAAUAUGAACAAUACAAAAAUAUAAACCAGACAACUUGAAGAUCGAGGUUUGCGUACCGCAAUGUCCUUGAAAUAGAAAUUUCGUCCCUACUCAAUGCUUGUAGUUCUACGAACAUCUACUUCAUCAGGAUUCAACGAUCUAAGUUAGAAUUCUAGCACCGGAAAACUAGACUUCUAGCGAAUUUGUUUGUGGUGCUCUCAGUAUGCUUGGUAUAUGAGGAUUGAUGAUUUUUAGUGUUUUGAAUGAUAUGCAGAUGCAUGUAUUUAUAGUGAGCAUAUGUAUUUUCGCAACAGACAUGUUUUUGGGAGGCGACUGUUCAAUGUAAAGGGUGUGUUGCUCCAUCUGUUUCUCAGAUACACUCUCAGACUUCAUCUGAAAAGAUGAGUCUUUUCAUUAAAAAGUAAUUUAAUUAAAUUCGAAAUUAAUCAUAAAUAAUUAAUUAAAUAAUUUAAUUUUCAGAGCCCAAGGCCCAUCUUUUGAUAAUUAAUUAUAUAUCUUGAUUAUUAAUUAAUUAUCAAUUAAUUAUUACACCCCAAAGCCUAACCCCAAGGGUGAGCCCAAUUUUAUUCUCCAAGGUUCAUCACUCCAAUCACUUUCUAUAAGAGACAAAGCCUUAUAAAGUGAGGAAACCUUGUGGUGGUGAGUAAUGUGGGACAAUGAAAUUCUACUCAAAAUUUUCAACACUUAAGUCUCGAAAGAAACCAUCAACUAACAAUAAACUGUACGCAGAUCAAUUUUUAAAGUCUUUGUAUUACAUCAUAUUCCUAUUUUGAUUGGGAUUUUGGAUUUGGAUUUGAUUACUUUCUGCCAGUUAAGAGAAACUGCUUAGAACUUUUAUCUUUUCAUUAUUUAGGGAGGAAAACCAAAUAUCACAUAACCCUAGGCACGGGCCGGGUCGGGCCCAAUUUUGAAAGAACCAGACCUUACCCGUUUUAAAUAGUAACAGGGCGGACUUGAUCGGGUAUAGAGAUUUUGAGUUUUGGAACCGAACCUAACCUGGCCCGUUUGAAACGGGCCGAUUUGGGGCGGGUCCACGGGUCCAACUUUUUUUUUUUAAUUUAUAAACUGCAGUGCUGCUGUGAACUGCAGCAACACUGGAAUGAAAUUAGCAGACUAAACCGGCCAACGUCCCCAGCCAUUGGACUGGCGGUUCUUCGCCUGAGCAGUUCGACCAACACCGCGACAAAAGCAGCGGAAGGGAAUGGCUUGCUUGUGGCCUAAAACAUCUUCCAAGUACCUUUUAGCCUUUGCCAAAUGCAUCUUCCUGAUGGCAUGGGCAGUCUAAAACAGAUAAACAAAUCCAAAUUUUAACAAUCGAAUCGAACCAGUCCAAGCAUAACACAAACAAUCCAAGAUAAACAGAUUUGAAAAUUAAUUGAGCUGGUUUUUUAAAACUAAGGUUGCACUGCACAUCAAUUCUUGAAUAUAUAUACCACACACACACACACACACACACACACACAUACUCACACACAUAAUCGAUUCAAAUUCAAUUCAAUAAAAGAUUUGAAAUUGGAGCAUAAUAGAGGUUAAGGUUUAACAACCCAGCAAAAUUCCUAAAUCUAGAAAACCCUAAUUUAAUUUUCAAUCCUUAAUCCUUAAAACAUAAUACCUUAAAACUGAAGAGGAGUAGAGUCGUGCGCUGCAAAUAUGGGUUUGAGUCAGACGGAGGAGAUGACUGGUUCGAAAUCCGGUUGUUCAUGCUUCGCCAUGAUCAGGUCGAUAAGGACCCGGGUUCCGGCAUCAGACUCGGAAUCGUUCAUGCUUCGCCAUGAUCAGGUCGAUAAGGAGUUGUCGAAGGUGAUGUACGUCAGCAUCGAUAACGUGAGGGUCACCGAUGGGGUUGAAUUUGAAGUGUACGAGAACAAUGAUAUGGUUCUAUGUGGGUCUCUAGAGCGGUGGAAGGUGUUUGGAUCAAUGGAAAUGUGCGAGGAUUGGACAACGCUUCAAGAACAGGUGGAGUUAAGAGGAGAGAUCGAAGUCUGAGAAUCUGAGUGAAAUGAGAGAAGUUGGGAUGAGAUAUGAGAAGACAGGCCUUAGACUUCGGCUCAAUUAUAUUCCAUGCUAGAAAUGGGCCGGGCCGGGGGCUCGUUCCCUCUUAUUUUAAGAUCCGGCCCGCCUCUCUAAUUUCAUAUACCUGAACCACCCCGCCUCGUUUUGCGUUUAGAAAUUUUGGACCUGCCCCGUACCCGCCCCGAACCUGAAUUACUCGCCCCUACCCGCGGUUCCUGUACCCGUUUGCCCAUCCCUAUCACAUACUACUGCAUUUUCCCCCUUAGGCUUCAGUUACGAAAUAUUGUGUACUUUUGAUAUUAAAUGAGAACCAUACCCUCAUUCUAAGCACCCUCAAUUCCCAACUAGGGUUACUCCAUAGCCCGUUACUCUCUAAAACAUUUUCAUGCCUCUAUGUAAAUGUAAUCAAUUCAUUAUCAUAGCAAAUAAUCAAAGAUAUGACAUUAGUAUGGACAACCUAUAACCUUGAUACUCUUAUCAAAUAAUAACUUCCUCAUAGUUAUAAUUUUUUUUUAUAAUCAUAGGAACAUGCACAAUUUUGCCCCAUUGUACAUGACCCACAAGCCACUAGCACUAGCUAAUAAUUGUCACCGAUCACUGGUGCCAGAAAAAGGUUUCCAAUCGCCUAAAAAUUUUGAAGUCACUUUUCAACAUUAACAUUUGUUUGUAUCAUACUUAGGGCCUCCGUAUUUAGAUCUCGUAUAAAUACUCGGGGGACUCAAUAUAAUUAUGUAAUAAAUGAAUGGGCAAAUAUGUAAUAAGUGAGGAGUCCUUAUUCUAUAAAAUGACUCCUUACUCUCCUCAUUAGGGGAGGCCAAUUCUUAGGCCUGACUACCACCCUCAGAAGCCUCACUCUCCUAUUCAGAGGCUCUCUAUCCUUCACAGAGAAAUACAAUAUCAGUGUGGACGUAGCCCAAACAUUGGGGUGAACCACGAUACAUCUUGUGUUAUUUACAUUUCUUGCAGAUUCACGGUCGAACUUACGUUGUUCCAAGACCUCCGGUUUUGUGCAUCAACGUUUGGCGCUGUUUGUGGGAAUCGAUACGAAAAGUUGUGUCGGUUCUUUUUCAUUUUUUUCACCUCCGCCGUGAAUCUGUAAAAUCACAAAGCUAUUGACACUCCAAGCACCGUGCUCGCUCUCCCACUUCCGCUCAAACCCCAUUCUCAUCCUCUAUUACACCUCCCUUAAACCCCUUUCUUCCUUAUCCUCACAGCCCGUCACCCACUUCACCAUCACAGACCAAUCCCUCUGAGUCUGUCUUAUCAAUUUCAAUCCCCAUGCUUGCUUAUAGCUUUCAAGACCAUAAUCUCAACUGGGUGUCCAUUGUUUUCAAAUUUUUGAUUGGAGUAGAAGAAAAUUAAGAGAACCCAUGAGUCUUCUUCCUUUUGAGCUUGGUUUGCUGCCAUUUCCAGAACUGGGUUCUUCAUUCCAUUGAAGAUUUUCAACUGGGUUAGUGGGUUUUGGUGCAAAGCUUCAAGCUUUGGAAGUUUCUGCUGCCAUGGAUACUCCGCCGGCAGAGGAGGUCUGAAGAAGAUCCAAAUGCUGGAAGCGGGUCAGGCUGACUUCAAGAAAGAGAUGACCAAGCUCAGGCACUCCGAGGAUGUCAAAUCAGAGCACCAGAAGGCCCACUCCGUCUUGCCGCAACACUCAAGUUUCUCGUCUGUACCCAAAAGGAGAAUCGCUGAGGACGACGAUGUUGCUGGUAAUGGAGGUCACGAUGCGGCGGCUUGGAAGAUAGGGUUUUCUUCAUUUCGGCAUUCCUUGCCACUUCAGAGGGAGAGCCGCAGCCAUGAUCUUCCUAUUGGAGGCAGUGGCGGCGGCGACGACGUCAAUGGGGGAAGCAGUAGCACCGGACCUUUAACUGUGAACUUUACGGAUAGGCAGUAUCUGAACAUAUUGCAGUCAAUUGGGCAAUCUGUGCAUAUAUUUGAUAUCAAUGGGCUUAUAAUUUACUGAUAGAAAUGCAAGAACAGGCAACAAGUUCUCUCGCUACGAGCUCUCUGCCUUCCAGCAACAGAAUAAUGAAAGCAGAAAACAAAAGCAAAAGAGAGGUGCGGUGGAAAAGAGAACGACAAAAGCAAAAGAGAGAGGUGCAAGCUGUGGGAAACAAAAGCGAAAGCAAAGCAGAAAACCGAGAAAAAACACAAAGCAAAAGAGAGUUUUUCCUCUGCGAGAGCACAUGAGGACACUGCAAAAGCAAGGAAUAAACACCCACACUGCAAAAGCAAGGAAUAAACACCCCACCAAAAUGAUGUGAUUUACUUUUCUUGUUUUUUGAAUGAUGUGAUUUAUUUUUCUUAUCUUUCGGAGACAACUGUAUAAACCCAUUAGAGGGUAAAAAACAAAAAACAAAAAAAAACAAAAAGGCAAAGCCCAAAAUAAUGGGCUGGAAUGUUAUGUGGAGGGCGAAGGCCCAUAUGCCCAAAAGAGCCAAGCCCUCUAUUAUCACCAACCAAGUGAUCAAAAGUACGUCAAGUGCUACAAAAAAUUAUUCAGCAGUCUGCCGCUAUUACCACCAACUUGGUGAUCAAAAGUAAGCCCAGUACUCCAAAAUUAUUCGGCAGCCUGCCGCUAUUAUCACCAACCAGGUGAUCAAAAGUACGCCCAGUACUCCAAAAUUAUUCGGCAACUUGCCGCUAUUAUCACCCACUAGGUGAUCAAAAGUACGUCCAGUACUCCAAAAUUAUACAUGAGCAUCACUGAUGUCAAUCAUACAUAAACAUUCAUGAGCAUCACUCAUGACAAUCAUACAUAAACAUUCAUGACCAUCAUUCAUGUCAACAUUUAUGAGCAUCACUCAUGCCAACAUCCAUGAGCAUCACUCAUGCCAACAUCCAUGAGCAUCACUCAUGUCAAUCAACAUAAACAUUCAUGAGCAUCACUCAUGUCAAUCUAGCUUCAAAAGUUUCAUUUACAGAGCUCUAACUUCAAAAGCUUCAUUUACAGAGCUCUAGCUUCAAAGCUUCACUUGCAAAGCUUUACCUACAAAGCUUCAGUGCAGGGUAUACAAAUACCGCAUCCGAACAACCGCCAUUUCGGCCCAUACAUGGAUUCAAUUUGAAGUCUCCAGCCAACAGACUCUAUUGACCGAAGACUUGCGGAACUACAUUAUGUACCAUAUAUUGUACCAUAUAUUGGGCCUCAUGAAAAAUACUUGGGGGACUUAGCCCAUUAUUUAUGUAUUGAGGAGUGAGCCCUUAUUCUAUAAAAGGGACUCCUUAACUUUCAUUAAAGAGCAUCCAUUAUUCAUGUACUGAUGAGCGAACCCUUAUUUUAUAAAAGGGACUUCCUCACCUUCAUUAGAGAGCAUCGCCGCCAGCUGAGCAACCGCCUCGCAGUGAGCAUCACUCCUAACCCAUUAUUCAUGUACUGAGGAGCGAGCCCUUAUUUUAUAAAAGGACUCCCUCACCUUCAUUAGAGAGCAUCGCCGCCAGCUGAGCAAUCACCUCACCGCGAGCAUCACUCAUAACCCAUUAUUCAUGUACUGAGGAGCGAGACCUUAUUUUAUAAAAGGGACUCAUUCACCUUCAUUAGAAUAGCAUCGCCACCAAUUGAGCAACCGCCUCAUCGCAAGCAUCAUUCUUAACCUAUCACUUAUGUAUUGAGGAACGAGCCAUUAUUCUAUAAAAGGGACUCUCUCACCUUCAACGCCACAAGCCGAGCCAACCAAGGCAACAUAAGCCACAAGCAGAGCAGCCUCGCAACAUGUGCUACUUCUAGUUGAACAUCAUUUCAGAUCGGGUAUCGCCUCAUAUCGAGUAUCAAUCCUAUACGACAUCUAGUUACUUCGGCUCACACAUGGACUGAGUUUCAAGUCUCCAGCCAAAAGACUCUCUUAACUGAAGACUUAGGGGACUACUGUUUGUACCAUACUUAAGGCCUCCAUAUUUAGACCUCGUAUAAAUACUCGGGGGACUCAAAUGUAAUUAUGUAAUAAAUGAAGGGGUAAAUAUGUAAUAAGUUAGGAGCCUUUAUUCUAUAAAAGGACUCCUCACUCUCCUCAUUAGGGGAGGCCAAUUCGUAGGCCUGACUACCACCCUCAGAAGCCUCACUCUCCUAUUCAGAGGCUUUCUCUCCCUCACAGAGAAAUACAAUAUUAGUGUGGACAUAGCCCAAACAUUGGGGUGAACUACGAUACAUCUUGUGUUAUUUACAUUUCUUGCAGAUUCACGGUAGGACUUACGCUGUUCCAAGACCUCCGGUUUUGUGCAUCAACAACAUUAAUAAAAAUAACAUAUGUGCAACUUUUUUUACUAAGUUUAGUUAUUUUUUUUUUCAAUGAGAACUUUAUUAAUUAGUCAUGAGAUGAUAAUGGUGUUCCACUCACGGAGGAACUUACUUGUUCUCCCACUUAUUAUUAAUGUACCAUUACUCUACGAACUUAAUAAAACGACCCAUUCAUACUCUUUAUCAUCAUCUAAAAAUCAGGUAUACCAAAAAUCCUUCAAUUUGGAGGUCUUUAGCAAUCUAUAGGUGUCACAUUAAUUAAGCGGUUUUCGUAACAAAUAACAUACUCAUGAUGAAGCAUCCAUUUGCUUGAUGCAUAUAAAUGACUAAGGGAUCUCCAAAUUGAAUGAUUUUUUUACAAAUGAUCUUUAGGUAAUGACAAAGAGUAUAAACGGGUUUGAUUAUAAGUUCAUACGGUAAAUAUACGUUAAAUAUAAGUGGUGGAACAAGUAAGUUACACCCCAUAUGUGAAAUAUAAGCAUUAUCCUUAAUUAGGUUUAGGUAAAUGAGGAAUGUCACAUGGAUUCCUCCUAUGUAGAUAGUUAGAAAAUAAUUUUUCGGUCCAUUAGUGAUUAGAAAAGUAAUUUACGUCUAUCACUUACGUCUAUCCAUUAGUGAUUAGAAAAGUAAUUUUUCGGUCCAUUAAUGAGGCCGUUUAUUUCCCUUUUUUCUACAUGUAUUGCAUUACAGUGUACGUUGUGUAAUUCUGCAAAUUCAAAUUAAAGUCGUAUUAAAGUAUCUAUUUUAUUAUGGUCAAACUAGUCGCACCCAACUUUCGAACAUUAUAUUUGACUAAUUUGGCUACAAUAAUAUCAUAACAUCUUAUUGAUUUAAAAAUGAAUUUCCCACGUAUAUAUGAAAAAGUUCGAGAAAGUUCAAACUUGUAAAAUAUAUGAAUAAUGAACUAUAUUUUCGAAAUUUCGAGAUUACUUUGAUUUGAUGCAAUCUAAAAAAAAUUAAAAAUAAAUUAACCACCUAAUCUGAAAAGUAGAAAUCUUAUUUACUAUCAGAUAUGUCUGAAAAUCACCCUUAACCCGGCAGUUCCAUUCCUGCACAUAACUGCAUUUCACUAGGAAAAGUAAACCGCCGCUUGAUCAACAUAUUGCAAUAUGAACGACCACUUACAACUUGUACGCUGUCUAGUUUAUCACACUCACAUGGUAAUGCUUCCGCACUCAAAAUCUGUGCUCCCCUUAAAAGGCUCCCUGAUCUGUUGGAAGGAAAAAUAUGAGAGAAACUAUUGUGAGGUGCAUAUAUACCAACAAAUAAAGCUUCAUGUGAAACAACAAAGAAAAAUCAAUGUUAAUUGCAUCACAAAUAGCUUAGAUAUUUAUGCUAACUACGACAAGAUUCAUUGUGUCAAGAUAGGUUGUGAGCUUCAACAAAAAGUUACCCAUUAAUUAUGCAACUAUUGGGUUCGGUGUCUUGUAAGUUUUAGAAAAGAAUCAAAAUAUGGACUCUUUGGAAACAACAUUGUGACUCCAAAGUCAUCUAAGCAGUAACUAAUUAAUCCAUUCUUCAUUGGUAAAAUUAAAGGAGAAAAUAUAGCAAUUCCCCUUGUACUUAUCAUUUGUUUAAUUUUCGAUUGGUCAGUAGAACUUUCUAUCAAGUUUCAAGCCCUCUAAUCUCUGAAAAUGUCGAAAUUCCUCUCUUCUUGGGUCCGUCAACUUUUCCUUUAAAUUUGAAGUCAUUUUUGUUGAAUUCAAACGGGAUUUCCCCACAUUUAUAAGAAUAAACGAUAAAGUGUUUGCUCUCCAAUUUAAAUCAAGCAUCCAAGUAUGUGGGUUUAGUUACGAAAAAGCUCUUCUUAAUGACAAUGAUAAUAACCUUAAAAAGUACUAACAUUCCUGUGUAUAUGCUUAUAUAGUAUAUAUUAUAUAAGAACAUAACAUAUAUAUAAGGAAUUGUUAUUAGCAUUCCAAAAAUCACAUUUGGCACUCCAAACUUUCUAUAAUUAGAAAGAAAAAUACACUUGUGAGGAGUGUAGAAUGAGAUUUUUGGAGUGCUAAUAACAAUUUCAUAUAUAUAUAUAUAUAUAUAUAUAUAUAUAUAUAUAUAUAUAUAUCUAUGUAUGUAUGGAGACAAUCUACUUACAAUGGAUUCGAGCCGGCAAUAUUCCUCUCACCCAAACUGUAGAAAGGUAUCAAGCAAGCACGUUGGGUAAAGAAAGGAAGGUCAUAACCAGGUGGAGCUAUCUUCCCUAUCAUUGGCUCGUCGAACAGUUCACCUUUAUGGCUUUCAAAGUCCCAGCUAAAGAUCAAUUCUGAAGUGCCAUAGAAAAUGACAUGAGCAUUCGGACUUAUUGCAUAGGGUUUCAACACUAUAUCUGCACUGGGUAUAAGCAUUGUAUCCGACCCCCAUACCCAACCAUUCCAAACAGCACUAUAUUUGAGAGUCCAUUGGUCACCAGAUUCACGUCGAUCAUUAUAAGACCAAAAACGAAAAGUUUUUGAACUAUCACAUGUUACAUAACAAACAAGAUCCUUUGACACCCCAAGACAUCCCAUUGUUGCACCUGUCUUAUCAUCGUCCCCAAGAACACGAGGGAGUUCAAAGGCUCGAGCUUUAACGGUAUUGAGGUCAAUACAUAAAACUUUCUGUGAACUAGCAAGGCCAUAUAACACCCCGCGCAAGUAUACAAAAUGCCUGCAAACCUUGGAAGUUUUAAAUCCAUCAACAAAAUUGGGGUCGAGUUGCAAUCCACGACGAGCCCACUGUCCAGAUUGCGAAGAAAAUAUGUCCAUCAUCAGAGUUAGGGUUGGGGUUGGGGUUGGGACUGGGGAACCACUGGAUUUGGAUUGUGGGGAAUAAUCAAUUCGAACAAUUCUAUAGUGGUUGGAUUCAACAGGGUCAAAAGCCAAGGCAGCGCAAAAAUGCUCACGCUCAUGUGCACAUGCUAUAGGUACGGAGACAUGUUGUUUGGUGAUGGGGUUGAACACACAGAAUUGACAAGUGCGCAGGUUGAAGAACAGAAUUAACCCAUUACAACAGUCAAGAUAACUGUCAGAUACGUCGCGCACCUGAGUGACAACUAGUUUAUCGGGUUCUAGAAUGUCAUUAUUCCAGAAUGUGGUCCAGUAGUUAUAAUUAUGAUGCAAACAUACGUAAUUGAGUUGAAGAUACGUAUCAUCAUCAGCUGGCCACAGAGUACGGUAGUAAAGACCUAUAAUAGGAGACUGCGACCAAAAUAUCCGCAACCAAACAUCAGAGAUUAUUCGAUGCCAUGACUUGGCAACUAUCUUGCAUUUCAUCAAAUCUAACUGUGAUAAUCUGCUCAAAAUAUUAAACCACAAAUCAUCACACAUACAUAAAUCCCUCGUACCCGAAUCAUUCAAUUCGACAGCAGCAGCCGGAGAGCCAACCAUGAUGAUCUCUAGUUAUUCUGGUAAAGUUGAAAGAAACAGAAGUAUCGGAAACCCUAAAAUUUUGAAACUUAAGGGCAGCGUCCGAAACCCGAGAAUUCAGAAAUUCAAUCAGGACCUGAAUUAAGCCUCGAAAGAAACCAUCGACUAACAAUAAACUGUACGCAGAUCAAUUUGUAAAGUCUUCGUACUACAUCUUAUGUUGGCGUGUGAGUCAUAAAUCAAUUAGUAUUGGAAUGUAAUUUGGUUUCCUACAUUAAAGGGAUUCCUACCUAGUUUAGGAUAAACUCUUUUAUUAUUAUUCAUUGUACCGCAAGGUGUGGAUGUAUAUAUAUGCCUCCAUAUUGGAGAUAUGAGAAUAAGAAUCAAUCAAAGUUAUUUUCCUAUUCCUAUUCGGAUUGGGAUUUUUUAUUUGGAUUUGAUGACUUUAAACCAAGCAUCAUACUACUGCCUUUUUCCCCCUUUAGCUUCAGUUACGAAAUAUCGUGUAGUUUUGAUAUGAAAUGACAACCUUACCCUCACUCUAAGCACCCUUAAUUCCUAGCUAGGGUUUCUCCACAACCGCGUUACUCUCUAAAAGCCUCUCAUGCCUCCCUGUAGAUGUAAUCAAUUGAUUAUCAUAGCGAAUAACCAAAGAUAUGACAUUAGCAUGGACAUAACCUAGAACCUCAGUACUCUUAUAAAAUAAUAACUUCCUCGUACUUAUUAAAAAAAUUUAAUUCUAAAUUGGGCCAGUUAUAUAUAAGAGUACAACUUGAGUGGGUUGCAAGUUCAACCCAACUCUAACCCAACCCUCACAAAAGUGGUUAAAUUUUAGAUUGGAUUUCAUUCGGGUUUAUUUGAGGUCAGACCUAUUAAAUAGUAAAUAAGAAAAAAUAGUUAGUCGUAUAUAUUUUAUAUGUGAAACAAUUAUUAUUAAAGCAAAAUACAUAAAGGACAUAAUAAUUACCAAAUGGAAUCAAGUAUCUUUAGUGCUACAUGAAACCCGAUGCCAAGAACUUAAACAAUAUCAACUACACCUAUAAAUGGAAUUUAAAAUAGACACCUGCUUUAAAAAUCAUAUAUAUUAACACUAAGCUCAGUAUCUUAGAAGGAAGAAGAAAGCAAUGAAAACCUUCAUAGAAAAAUGUAGAGAGAUAGAAGAGAGAGAAGAAUGAACUGCUAUGAAUGUAUUGAUUGAUUGAGAAUUACAGAGAAUUGCUAUACAUACUACAACCUUCGAUUCAUAGCUAAGUAAUCGAAAACUAAUUAACUUCUCUUAUCCUUUUAGUUGUCUAACCACAAUCCUAACAACCUUGGCUAACGUGUAAGCCAUAUGUCAAAACCCUAUCUUGCCGAUGUGUACAUAUAUCUAUCAACAUCGCCCCUCAAUCUUAGCUGGGUUUCCAAGCUUGAGAUUGAAUGAAUGCUUGAGGAAUGAAGGACUAUGUAGACCCUUAGUUAGUAUGUCUGUGGUUUGACCUUCAGUAGGUAGAUAUUGAACUUGCAAAUCCCCCUUUUGAACUCUCUCCAGUACGAAAUGAUAUUUGUGUCUAAAUGUUUGAUCCUCAAGUGAAAAACUGGUUUGGCACUUAAUGCAAUUGCAUAUUUGUUAUCA